Long non-coding RNA from Hippocampus comes (tiger tail seahorse), 149 nucleotides. RefSeq lists it as uncharacterized. The transcript is spliced from 3 exons. The record is from RefSeq and is a predicted model, not a curated record. NCBI's taxonomy places the organism in Eukaryota, Metazoa, Chordata, Actinopteri, Syngnathiformes, Syngnathidae.
CGACAUCAUUUGGCCGUCGGGCUUUGUCUGCGAGAACUGUUUGAAGAGGUCUGGGAAAACAAAAAAGGAGAACAAGUUUUCAGCUAAAAGGUUGCAGUCAACGAGGUUGGGAACGUACAUUGAGGACAGAGUCAAUAAGUACUUGAAAA